GAUGAACGCUAGCGGCAGGCCUAAUACAUGCAAGUCGAACGAUAUAACCCAGCUUGCUGGGUUAGAAAGUGGCGCACGGGUGCGUAACGCGUAUGCAACCUACCUUAAUCAGGGGGAUAGCCCGGAGAAAUCCGGAUUAACACCGCAUAAAAUCACAGUUCAGCAUUGAACAAUGAUCAAAUAUUUAUAGGAUUAAGAUGGGCAUGCGUGUCAUUAGCUAGUUGGCGGGGUAACGGCCCACCAAGGCGACGAUGACUAGGGGAUAUGAGAGGAAGGCCCCCAGGACUGGUGCUGAGACACGGACAAGAGUCGGAGGGGAGGCAGCAGUAAGGAAUAUUGGUCAAUGGAGGGAACGUGGAACCAGCCAUGCCGCGUGCAGGACGACUGCCCUCUGGGUUGUAAACUGCUUUUAUUCGGGAAUAAACCUGCUUACGUGUAAGUAGCUGAAUGUACCGAAGGAAUAAGGAUCGGCUAACUCCGUGCCAGCCGCCGCCGUAA
RNAcentral lists this ribosomal RNA (498 nucleotides) under uncultured bacterium. Its description in RNAcentral is "partial 16S ribosomal RNA". It matches the Rfam family "Bacterial small subunit ribosomal RNA", at positions 28 to 523 of the family's 1533-position model. The record is from RNAcentral.